RNAcentral lists this long non-coding RNA (1043 nucleotides) under Equus caballus (horse). Its description in RNAcentral is "lncRNA (ENSECAG00000035843.3)". The record is from RNAcentral. Lineage: Eukaryota; Metazoa; Chordata; Mammalia; Perissodactyla; Equidae.
AAUUAAUUAGUCAAGAAAAAGACUUUUUUUGUGUGUUCCAUAACUCAUUAGUGAGGAAGAAAGGUGUUUCUUUAAGAGAAAUACUAAUCAUAUUAUAUAAAGAUCUCACCUUUAAGAAGAUGAAGGAAAACAUAGUUAAGGAGAAAUGCAAUAUGACAUUCCGUGAAGGCAACAAUGGAAGAACUUAUACCCUUCAGAUAAUCUUUUUUAUUUCCCAAAGGUUUUGUGCAGUUGUGGUUCCCAAAUUCUUAGGCCCCCAUGCUAGACCUCUACUGAAUCAGAAACCCUCAGUGUGGGGCCCAGGAAUCUGUGCCCUCCAGAUGAUUCCGAUCCACUCAAGUGUGAGAACCACUGCUAUAGGACAUCACAAUUAUCUUUUGAGGAACUGUCAUUUUUUCCAAAAGUUUAAACUUUUUAAAGAAUUAGAAAAUAGCCUGUUUCCCUGAUAAAGAAGUUUAAAUUUCAUGAUAUGAUAAAUUCUAUUGUACAAAUGAUGUGAUUCUUGUUUGGAUAAAGAUCUUAGAGCAGACUUGAUAGCUAAUAGAAUCCCAUUUUGAUAUACAGAGCACUUUCUACAUAAUGAAUUUUCCAUAUCAGGUGGCUGAAGCCUUUACACAGCCGGAAUUUUAAGUAUUGCAUGUUUCUGGAAGAAAAGCAUUGAUCACAUCCUCCUUGGAUGUUUAGAAUCACCGAUGGAAAUUAAUUAUUUAAGCCACAUUUGGAUCUGCAGCAAUGCUCAGAAGAAGUUUUAUAACAGCCCAGAUGACAAAUUGUUCAGCUUCAUGAAGAUUUCACCAACUAAACCAACUGUUUAGUUUUUAAUUCAAAAGAAACUGAAGAGCAACUCACAGGUGGUGCAACAUGGAGAGAAAUCACACCUGUUCAGAGGGUUCUUACUGAAAGAACGUGAAAGUCAAGAAUCACUGUCUCUUGUCUAACUUGAUGAAGCAGGUGAUUUCAAACUGCAUGCAAAUGAGUCCAAAUAACUUGAGAUCUUGAACAGCGUAAGCUCCUUCAAAAGAAAUUCUCUAUUUAAGAUAAAC